UACGUAAGUGGCAAGCGUUGUCCGGAAUCACUGGGUGUAAAGAGCACGUAGGCGGCUUGGUAAGUCUGAGGUGAAAUCCACGAGCUUAACUCGUGAACUGCCUUGGAAACUGCCGAGCUAGAGGACCAGAGGGGAAAGUGGAAUUUCGGGUGUAGCGGUGAAAUGCGUAGAUAUCCGAGAGAACACCGAUGGCGAAGGCAGCUUUCUGGCUGGAUCCUGACGCUGAGGUGCGAAAGCUAGGGUAGCGAACGGG
This 253-nucleotide unclassified non-coding RNA is filed under the name uncultured bacterium. RNAcentral's name for it is "contains 16S-23S intergenic spacer region". It matches the Rfam family "Bacterial small subunit ribosomal RNA", at positions 524 to 776 of the family's 1533-position model. The record is from RNAcentral.